This 1691-nucleotide long non-coding RNA is filed under the name Macaca fascicularis (crab-eating macaque). RNAcentral's name for it is "lncRNA (ENSMFAG00000048827.1)". Lineage: Eukaryota; Metazoa; Chordata; Mammalia; Primates; Cercopithecidae. The record is from RNAcentral.
GCAGCGGCAGUUCUGCCUCGGAGCUGACUCCAGGGCCCCGUGUGGUCUCCGGACAGCUGCGGGAAGGCUGCUGCAGCUAGAGCUGACGAGGCGGCUAUGUGCAGUUUGUCAGGGGAUUGGGUUGAAAACUGGCCAGUCGGGAUGACUGGGUGAAAGAGGAGUAGCUCCUGCCACUGGCAUUUUGAGUGUUGGCAAUUUGGGAUGCCUCCUGGGGAUGGUCUGGGGGCCUUUGGUGAGUCUCUAAGCAAUUGUGUUUGUUUUCAGAUUUUUCCUUGCUUUUGUGUUUCUCUAUUGGUUUUUGAUGUUGUAAAAGCAAUGAAUCCUCUUUACAAGAAAAUCGAAAACAUAGAAGAAUGAAGGACAUGCCAGCCCCCGAUCGCUGCUGUGAGCACCUCAGCGGCUCCCUCCAACCAGAUACCGUAGGCAGCCCCACAGACUGACCCUGACCCCACUCACCGCCACCCUGACGAUAGACUAUAGGAACGGGCCCAUACCACACAGACUGCUCUCCAGUCCCCGAGUCUCAGAUGUUUCAUUAUUUCCUACUUUUCCACUACUAAAAAACAGUGUGGAACAGACAUUAUUGGCAAAAUUGAUCAUCCCCAAUCCUGAAAAACAGGCCUGAAUGGGUAAAGACUUGUCAAAGCUUGCAACAUAGCUACAUGGUGCACCCGAACCUGUACCCACCCAUCCCCCAACACAAAACGAGUGUCCGGAAAGUUCAUUUGCCUUUAAACUGAUCCAGCUGGCCCUAAACCAAUUGUUUUUGACUGAGUAUCUAGGAGAGCAGUAAGUGGAACUUCAGACAACAAGCCCACUGGGUCUGGUCCAGGUGACGGGCAGGAGGCAUGGGGCUGGGAGGUCUCAGGGGCCUUGCCUGGGGGUGGCCAGCCUGGUAGGGGGCAGAGAAGGAAAAGCUGAGGGGGGUUCCAGUGAGGGAGGAAAGAAGGAUCAUUUGCCCUGCUGGGUAUCAAAGGCAAUGAGAAGAGAGCCGAAGAAAGCUCUGGCUGGCUGACAGGCCCCCUGUGUUGUAAUUGGUCCCUCCUUUCAGCUCUCUGGUGAGAUUCCCGUGUCUGUGUGUGUGCGCGUGUGUUUCAUAGAGCUAGCAUUAGACGGGUGAUGUUUCUUACUUAUCAUCCCUAACUAUUGUAACUUGACCUUAACAAGACAACCCCCCCCCACAAAACUCUUCCUGCCACGGGCUUGCAGAUUGAAGCACUUUCGAUGUUGGGCGCUGGCGUUUGUGUUCUGGGCACCAUCGUGACCCUGCCCAGAUGGCUAUAAUAUUAUUUUAUACACAAACAUGUUUUUCAUAAAUGUUAUAAUUUUGUGUCUGUCUUUAUAAACUAUUAUAAGUACUAUUUUUGUUAUAAUUCAAAAUAGAUAUUUAGUAUAAAGUUUUUGCUGUUAAAUAUUUGUUAUUUAGUAAAAUAUGAAUUUUGCUCUAUUGUAAACAUGGUUCAAAAUAUUAAUAUGUUUUUAUCACAGUCGUUUUAAUAUUGAAAAAGCACUUGUGUGUUUUGUUUUGAUAUGAAACUGGUACCGUGUGAGUGUUUUUGCUGUCGUGGUUUUAAUCUGUAUAUAAUAUUCCAUGUUGCAUAUUAAAAAAAUGAAUGUUGUGCAUUUUGUGAUUUUGGAAAUACUCAAUGUGGCUCUUUUAUAGGCUUCUAUAAUAAACCAUGGGGACUUGC